UCUACUAAUAAUAGCAAUCCCAAUUAAUUCCAAAGGUUGUGAGUCCACUUAUGUUGAAAGGUUGUGUCUUUUGAAAAAGAAGUGUAAAGAGUUGUGUCUUUUCUAAAAGUUCUAUGUUGGAAGGUUGUGUCUUUUCCAAUUAAUUUCUAAGGUUGUGAAUCCACUUAUGUUGAAAGGUUGUAUCUUUUGAAAAACUAGUGUAAAGGGUUGUGUCUUUUCUAAAAGUUCUAUGUUGUAAGGUUGUGUCUUUUCCAAUUAAUUCUUAAGGUUGUGAACUUCAAUUAUGUUGAAAGAUUGUGUCUUUUGAAAAAUAUGUGUAGAGGGUUGUGUUUUUUUCUAAAAGUUAUAUGUUGUAAGGUUGUGUCCUUCUAAAAAUAGUCUAAAAGUUGUGACUAUUCACUAGUAUCUUUUAAAAAGUGAGAAGUUGUGAGUAUUACAAGAAUGCGACUAUUCAUAUUGAAGGGUUGUGACUAUUCAAAUAGGCUUUAAAAAAUCUAUAAAUAGUCUCUCCCAUGCAUUUUUCAAAUCAAAUUUUCACUAAUCUACUAAUAAUAAAAUGGAAAAAAAAAUAAUGUCAAAGUUGUAACUUUUCAUCUAAACAAGGUGUCUUUUCAUCUCAAAGUGGGAUUGCUUUAAAAAAUAUUGGUUUUAUUUAAGUAAUGUGUUAGUUUAUAUAAUAAUUGUUGGUAUUUUAUAAGAACUCUCUCAAAAAUUAAAAAAAAAUAUUAUAAAUGAGACGGGUCAUAUUAACGUAAAUCAACAUAUAUUUAUUACAAUAUUCAAUUUUCUAAAUAUUCAUUUUUAAUAAAUAAAGCAGGUAGAUAAAUAUACAAAAUAACAAUUACCAACAUAUAAAUUAUAAUUGUUUAAAAUUAUAAACUAAUAAUUUUAAUAUUAUGUCUUAAAUAGGAAAAAAAAUUAUAUAUCAUGCAAAAAAAAAGUUGCAUUUUGUUCAAAAAGUGGUUGAAGAUAACUAUCAUGUGAAAAAUGUAUGAAAAAACUUAAAAAGGAUGAAGACACAAUUGUAUGCAAUAUGUGUUUUGAUAAAAAAUUAAAGGGAACAUUAAGGUUUAUAAAA
Long non-coding RNA from Brassica napus (rape), 1078 nucleotides. RefSeq lists it as uncharacterized. Lineage: Eukaryota; Viridiplantae; Streptophyta; Magnoliopsida; Brassicales; Brassicaceae. The record is from RefSeq and is a predicted model, not a curated record. The transcript has 2 exons.